GCCCUGGCCUUGGGCAGUCUGCAGGAUGAGGAGCCGUGCCUUGCUCUCCUGGGUGUCUGCCCACGAUCACAGGGCCAGUCACCAGGGCUGGAGCUGGCAGCCCUGUCGGGCGCUGCAGGGGCCAAAGAGGGGUGCUUGGCCUGGUGUCCUCAGCUUGGAUGAGGGGACUCAGCUACCCAAUGGGGCAGGAGGGAAAGGGGCGAUCUAGCCCUCAGAAGACCCCUCCUGCCCUUCCGUUUCCUGUCCCUUCCCUCUGAGAUCUCAGCCUCCAGUGGGAAGGCUCCACAGGUCUCUCGGGGGUGCAGAAUCCCCAUGUUGGGGCUGAGUCCUUCGAGGGUCUGAGAAAGAAGCUUGGUGCCUGGAUGGAGGUCAAGGCUGGAGGUCAAGGCUAGUGUCAGGGACCUUGGCUGCACCCCAAGCCGUGCCGAGGAGUUGCCACUGCACCGCUGGGCAGGCUCGGGAUGAAAUGAAUGCACGCUUCUCGGAAAUUCCAGAUUAGGAAAUUUCCAUCUCAAUUAAUGUAAAAUAAGUUAAGGUGGUAGGCACUGGAAAAUUAAAUGACACCUUCUUGGCAUCUCACGUUGGCGCGACGGCCAACUGAUUAUUUUUAUAUUACAAUCCCCAGGAAUUGUCAAAUUGAUUAAUAAAUUCAUUGAAAGCCCGUUCCUUCUUCAUAGAUUUAAUUUUGGUAGUCAGGGAGUAACUUUGCCGUGACCUUUGUGUCUCAGCUCUCUCUGUCUGAUAGUUAACAUGGGGUUAAUUGAGGUGGCCUUGGCUCCUGUCCCUCCAGGACCCCAGCCACCUCUGCAGCGGCAUGGUUUUCAGUGUCCCAAGGAAACAGGGAACCACCCUGAAGAUCCUGCCCGGAGGUGGCUUAUAAGCCGGGCAGCGUGGAUAGCCUGGAAGUCAGUCCCCCACCCAUGCCAGCCAGGUGACUUGUCCCAGUGGAGACCCACCAUCCUAGACUACUGGGAACUACUAAAAAUUGAGCACAAAAUAUAGCUCUGAGCUUCCUGGCAGAAAAGGCAAAAAGGGAAAAUCCACUGGUCAUGUGACUUUCCUGCUCUACUAUGUCUGACAGCCUCUUGGAUUGUUGAAGUGACACUAAUGGGACUGUCUAAGUGACGCUAGGCUGACAUUGGGGUGGCGCUUCCACAGAUCAUCUCUAAUCUCCAAACCAUAUCAGGCAAGUGCUGCCAUCUCCAUUUUUGGGGUGAAAACAUGGAUGUCCAAAGUUGGACAUGCCAUGGAUCUCCCAGCCAGCAAGUGGCUGAACCUCAUUGAGGAAUCAUUGUGGAAAGGAGCAGAGACUCAGGUCAGCAGGUGCAGAGCUGGCAAAUUCUGGAGCCCAGGGCUGGGGCAGGCGGCGUCCCCUCAGCAGUAGGCUUCUGAAUGCAGGUGGGUCACCCUGACUGCAGCUCCCUGUCUGCCGUCCUGCCUGACCCCUGCAGGGGACCUUCUCCUGAGUCACCUUCAUCCGCCCCUGUCCUUCAGUGCCUUGACUUCAGACCACAGGGACCUCAACUCCUCCAUCCGCCCUGUUCUCCUUCCCCUCUCACAGUUCCUCUCCUGCCUUCCCACCUGCUCAUCUGUUCUCCCUUGGGUCCUCCUUUUCCUCGGGGACCUCUCUUUUCCAGGGGACCCCUGACCUUCUAGUUGCCCGAUUCCAAGGUCACCCCUGAGGCCUCGCUGCUGGCUCCAGGCGGAGCGAGGGAGUGUGGAGGGCAUGAAGAGGAAGUGGCGGUGCCGGGGCUUGGGCCCAGUGGGCAAAGCUACUGAGGCCACAUCUCAGAACAGGAACUGGUAUUUGCCAGGAGGCGGGGGUCUCUGCGGGCUCCUCCUCUCAAAGCCCACCUCUGGGCUCCCCCAGGGGUCUGCAUCAGUCUUCGUGGGCAGGGUCCUUCCUCCAGAUGGGCUGAACUCAGAGACCCCCACCCUAAUCAGGGAAAAGCAACCCAGGCAGCCACCCUACCCGUCCCAGCCUCACUCCCUGCGCCCCGCCUUCACCGCCGCUCAGCCCCCUCCGGCCUUGACCUUACCCAGCGGCAAGUUGAGGAGAAACGGACUUGGUGAAAUAAGGCCUCAGCGUCGCUUUCUGAUUGGCCCGGCAACGCGCUUGCCAUUAACUUUAUGGCGCGAUACCCAAGGACUAAUUAAACCAGAUGGCGGCGAAACCUGCAUGGAGGCACCGAGACGUUUUUACAUUUAAGUUGAUCAAAAUUAGGUGAAACGGCAUAUGCUCGUGGAGAUUAGGAGUUUUUUAACUACAUAUUAACUGCUUUCUUAAUGCUCUUCCCGGUGAUCUCAGCGCAGCCCACCCCCUUUGUGCCAUUUAAUGCCUGUGAACCCCAGUCCCCGUCACCGCGACCUCGGGGCCGCGUGGUUUCGGUGUAAUUUAAGUGAGUGGGAUAUGCAGUGCAGACAUCGUCACCAUCAUCUGUGACAUUUGCUGCUGAGCGAAAUGGGGGCCUGCCCCCUACUCUCGGCAGGAGCUGUGGGCCUCUUCCCUGUUGGAGCCUGGGAAUGCCUUGGAGAAGGCCACAGUCGCGGCAAGGUGAGCCCCGCUCUGAGCACUGCAGAGGGAAGCCGGGUUGCACAGGACGCCUCUCCUGGCCCCUGCUUAGCGUCCCAUGUCUGGGCUCGGGGAAUGUGGUUCAGGACAGGGGUGGCCCUUCAUAGAAUCCCCCAAAUUUAGAUGGAGGAGGAGGUGGCCAAUGCCUUCCAGGAGGUUGGUGGCUGCAGCCCCUGCCAGACAAGCAUUGACCCGCCUCCGGGGCAGUGCUUGUGGCCUCACAGCCGUGCCAGGCAGUGUGUGGCGGGGCCUGUGGGGAUGUGCACAGCCCCGUCCGGGGCCUGCCCUCAGAAGGGUCGGGCUGCCCUUACAGGCUUUCAAAUGUCUUAUGUAUUUAUUUUUUGCUUAGCAAAAUUCACAUAACAGAAUGAACCCUGUUUGAGACGGCACUCUGCCGGCCCCACUGCAGCCGAGUUCUUGUUUCCGUCACCCCAGAAAAAGGCCCCUGCCUAGGGAGCGAUCCCUCCCAUGGCAGCCAUUCCCCCAGCUGCGGAAGCUCCUGCUCUCACAGACCUUCAGAAGCAAAGCCUGCAGAGUCCUCUCCAGACUGGGCACUCGGACGUCCACUUGAGGUCCUCUCUCUCCUGUCCCCAGCAGGGAAGCCAGGGCAACUGCUACAGCGUCCAGCAGGGACCGGCUCUGGGCCCAGCCUACGCCAGCAGGUGCUGAGCAGGCCCUGUCCUCCCUAGGUCCCAGGUCCCAGGUCCCAGGUCUGACUUCAGAGGGUCCUAGCCACCCAGGGCGGCUGGGAGGUGCAUGAUGGGAAGCAGCCCUGAGACCCCCGCCACCUCCUCUUAGGAUGUGCCCAUGCCCUGCCUCUGCCGUCCCUCCCCAGCUGCCCAAGGGCUGACUGCUGUGAGCACAGGGUUCCAGGCAGUGUCCCAGGAGCAAACUGCGACCUGGCCCUGGGCCUUGGAGCCCCAUGCUGCUCUCCACCGAGGAUGCUGGGCUGCUCUGCCCUGCACUCAGACAUCUGGGUUCUGACAGCCCGCUGGGCCCUGUGCCACCAGAGGCCUUGAAUUGCAUCCUGGUGGGAACCAGCCCCUCAUGUGGGGCAUGCACAGACCCCGGACUGGGCCAGGGCUGCCCAGUCCUGCUGCUGGGAUGCUGGGAUCCCCAUGUCCAGCAGCUGCGGUGAGGCUGUCCUGUGUGCUUCCCAGGGCCGGCCCUGCCCCACCACCUCCUCCCUUUCCCCUGGGCCGGCCCUGCCUGCCGCCUCCCCUCUUUCCCCUGGCCCUUCUGUGGGCUGCUCCUCCCCCACCCUCUCUGGGCAGGCGCAGCGGGUGGGGGUGAGGUUCUGGCAAAGCCCCCUCUGUUUUCCAGCCCAGUGGCGCUCACAUGUGACGCUGCGGGGGCAGCAUCAUGAAAAGCCCCUUUGUAUCUCCUCCCUGAUUAAGAAAUACCAGCAGGCCCCAGGAACCCAGGCUCCACGUCCUCUCUGAAUGCUGGCCAUGGUCACAGGCGGCUGGAUGGGCAGGCCCAGCAGUGGACUUCAAGGAAGAAUCCCCCCAGGCCCACCAGGCAGCCCUGCUGCUUCCUGGGGGGCUCCUCUCAUGUUGUCAGGCCACCUGAACCUCAGCUUCUGAGGCAAAGGCUUGGAGAGAACCCACAGUUCUCCAGUUCCUGUCACUGAGCCGGCCUUCCCCUCCAGCCUGGGAGGUCAACUCUCCAGAGAAGGGCUGCCCAGCAGGGAGGCCGACCGAGGGGAGCCCUGAGAUCCCUGAUGAGAACGGGGAGCCUGCAGAGGAAAUGGGCUCCCUACGGUCACCAUCACGCCCAGCGAGGCUCCAGCCCAGCUUCUUUCUGGGAGUGCUGUGCCCAGGAUCACCCUGGGAUAGGCAAGUGCUGUCACCUCUUUGCCUGGUGACUCUUUACACCCACAUGGAAGAGAAGAACGAUACUUUUACCCACCUGCAGGAGGGACACACAAGAGCCGCCCCAUCCCCCUUUCCCCCUAGGGUGACCAGGUGGCCAGCAGCCCCCAGCUCACCUGUCCCGCAGCUGACCUGUCCCCCAGCUCACUUGUCCCUCAGCUCACCUGUCCCUCCAGAGCUGUCGGCCACCCUGGAGGGAGGGUGCGGCCGGGAGGACCCCCGGGGUCUCCACCGGCUGGGCUGGACCUCACCGAGUCAGCAGCCUUCAGUGGCUGACCCCAGACCAAGAGCUAUAGGGUAGUUUAAAUUUGAAAAUUAACACGGAAUCAAAAGAGACAGAGUAAUUUUUCAUUCUGCUUGAAAGGUUAUUUGCUUUCUCAACUGAUGCUUAGUGUACUGAUAUAUGAUGUCAAAAGGUAAAUGAUUUUAAACCAGAUUCAAUUUAAAUUUCAUUACAUAUUUGUAGGAGGCUCCAAGAAUCCCGCGUCUUCCCUUCGAGGACCUUUCACUUCUAAUAACUCUGGUGCCUGGUGCUCUAAUCUGUUUAUUACGCAAUCGCGCAGUCGCAGGGGCCGUGCUUCUCAGACUGAGAAUCGGAGUGUCCAUGCCACAGGCUGUGGUCUCCAGGGCGGCCCUUCAGGAGUCUUGCCGCCUCUGAUCUUGGGUCUUCUCUGCCAUCCCGGGCAAAACACACGUCCUUUUAUGUCAAUGGGGAGUGUCCUCCGUGAAUGCAGACUUGGGGUCUGGGCCUUCUGUGGCUGCCGGGCCAGGAGAGACGGGGAGUGGUGGGAGGUGGGACAAGCAGGAGGCCUGGACCAGGAUCAGAAGCUGAAACAGCUCAGCGGAAGCUGAGGGCGGUGGCAGGCAAAUGCGUUUUGGAGCCCUGGGCUCCUCAUGGGCAACUGGAGUGCUGUAAGGAAUGGAACCCUUCGGGGCCUCUCUGUUGGAGGGAGGUGAGCAGAGCAGGCUCCGUGUCUGCUGCCCGUCCCAUUCCUGGCUGCACCUUGGACCAGUUACCCAGCCUCUCUGUGCCAUGGAAACAGGGUAAUGGCAGCACCACUGUGCUCAGCGGGAAUUAUGUCCCCUGGAACCUCAGAAUGUGACUUUAUUUGGAAAUUGGGUUAUUGCAGAUUGAAUUAGUUAAGUUGAGGUCACACUAGAGUUGGGUGGGGCCUGAAUCCAAUGCCCAGUGUCCUUAGAAGAUGCAGAGAGACACUGAGACCCAGAGGAAAAUGCCCUGUGGAAACAGGUGGAGAUGGGGGUGACAGGGCUGGCAGCCAAGGAGGUGUGGGGUGGCCAGCCACGCUGGAAGCUGGAGCUCCCAGAGGGAACCGUCCUGCCGACACCUUGACCUUGGACUCCGGGUCCCCAGAACUGUGUGAAAAUAAUUGCCACUGUGUGAGGUGCUGGGUUUGUGGGAUUUUGUUAUGGCAGACACAGGACACUAACACGCCACCCUCGGGGCAGGCGCGGGGGUCCCUGGAACGAGCUGGGCCCAGGCCACACUGGGAAUCUGUUGGCUACAUCCAUCCUUCUGUCCAUUCCACAGUGCAUGGGCUCACCCAAAGGCCUGGGGCCUGAGGCUGUUCCAACACCCACAGCUCAUCCGUCAGCUGGUGAAGUGGCCGACUGCCAUCUGAUUCUGCAGGUGGAACAGCCUAUCAGAGGAAGCGUUUUGGAGAGGCCCCUGCACCCAGCAAUGCCACGUCGGGGAGGGAGAGCCAGAAUGCCUGCCGUUGGGGACUUGAGAUUAAUUUGGUGGUGGUCCUAGACGGAUGUGAGGCAUUCGGAGACAGAACAGUUGGGCAGGGGCUUUGGGGCAGAGCUGGGGCAGUCUGGCUUGGCCUUCAGCAAGAGGGGGCAUGGACUGCCCACACCAGUGCAGAGGGGCGGAGAGAGCCUGCUGGGCCCAAGGGAACAGGCAGCCUUCCCUUAUGUUGCCAGAAACUGCUUCCACGUCCUCUCGUCUUGUUUAGGGGCCGCUGUCUUGCAGACCCUGGGCUUCAGCACGUCCCUCAGGCCAGGGCCGGGGGGUCCCAGAGUGGGAUGAGAGGCCAUGAUCUACGCAGGGGAGGACCCGUCCCUACCAGAAGCAGCCAAUCCCUGAAGAGCCCAGGUGGCUGAGUUCUGGCGUGUUCAAAAGCUGUCUCUUUGUAGGGUUGUGUGCGUGGGAGGUUGGAUUUUCUUUGGAAAUUGAUUGCCUGUUGAAUUCUUCCCACCACGGCUGUCGUCCUGCAGGAUCGGGGCAUGUGGGGAGGCUGUGAAUGGGCUUCCUCCGGCCCAUCUCGCCACUUAACUGCCGUAUCAUCGCUGCUGUGGCUUUGUUUACCCAGCAGGACUUGGUUUUAAAUGCACAUCUGGGCACUUUAAAAAGUAAUGUCUGUGCCUUCCAGGAACCCCUCCCCCGAUUUGGGCCUGUUCUAUUUUGCAACAUCCAACAGUGAGGAAUGGAAGGUUCCAGAUCGCGGCCCAGGGACCCCUGGGAUUAAGGUUGCAGCCGCCCUCUUGCCAGGCAGGAGCUUCCUUCCCGCCCGACUUUCGACUUUCGCUUGGCUUUGCCCCCACCUCACGCUCCCAUUUUCUCUCCUUUCUGCAAUGCUAAUGAUAUUGUUUGUUCUCCCUGCCACACAUAAAAAAGCACAGGAUAAUCACCCAGGCAUUAGUCAUCAUUAAGCUGGUGAUAAAAACAAAAAAAUCCUGAAGUGCUGUUUCCAGGAUGGGUGUCGUGCUUGCGAUGAAUGGUGUUUGUUACAAAUGUGGGUUUCAGGGAUCCAUCCAGUCAGCCGCACCAGAGACGGCAGACGCGUGUCUGCAGACGGACCCCGUCCUUUAGGUGUGAAAGGUAAAUACGGAGAGAAGGUUCCUUCGCAGCCCGGAACUGCCCCGGUCCUCGCUGGGCUUCUCAUUAAAGCAUCGUGCCCACCUCUGGUGCUGUCGGGCUCCUUAGCGGGGCUCUCGGCUCUCACCUGGCAUCUGUAAACUUGGAGUUGGCAUCAGGGCCAGGAUGAGCUUCGUGUGGAGGGUGCAGAGGACGGUAGAUUUGGGGCUCCUGCCCAUGCCAAACUCGGGGUGGGGCUCGGGCCACAGGGAGGACAGAGGCCGAGCUCCCGGCCAGCCCGUGCCCACCCUCCAGAUGCGGAGGGCAGAGUGGAGUGCUGGCUCUGGUGCACCUCGUGGUUACUUUCCUUGUGGCCAUAUUCCUUUGGAUACGGAUUCCCAGAACACGUGUCUGCAAGGAACGGAACACAUGACAGCCAGGACGUUUUAUUGUGUAGGUUUUUGCCCACGGGGAAGCUUGAGGUGGACAGCCCAAGGCUGGUGAUUGCCGUCCAAGACUGGAACCUCCCCCCCCCGCCCUCCCUCUGUCCCCAGCAUCCACCUGUGGUCUCAGUGGCAGAGCCUGUGGCGGUUCUGGGCCUUGUGUCUGCAGGUGGGAAGGGCAGCAGCUGCCUCAGGAGCUCUGAAUGGGUGACAGGCUCCCGGAAUGGCCGUGGCUGGGGGAUGCGCCCAUGGGCUGGGGGAUGCAGAUCCCCCAGGGCUGGAGAAGGCCGCCUCCCGUCCACUGGCACCCACAGCCCCAGGGCUUGGCUCCGUCCUGCGCCAUCCUGGAGUCUCCUCUCAGUGGGUGGUGGGCCCCUGGGGGCUGGGGCUGUGACUCUACACCCUCACCCUCCACUUCCGGAAACUGAGGCUGCCUGGGGUGGGUGCAGGGCCAGGCAAGGUUAGGCCCCCCCACAAGAGGCAGCCUGAAGCCCUGCCCUGGCACAGGGCGAGUCCUCUCAUCUGCCUGAGGGAGUCAGGCACCGGGCCUGAGUCUCUCAUCCGCCCAGUGAGGAAGGACGUGCCCUUCACAGCCCAGGCCACGGGAGAGACUCCCUGAGAAUCUGUCUGCGUUUUGUGGCCACUCGUGGAGGGUCACACGGGCCUGUGGGUGGAAGUUUGGGGUCAACUAUAAGUCUGCCCAAGGAGCCUGCAUGUCCCCGGGCUGGCCUAUCCCUUGGCACUCUGGCUGGGAGGCCUCCCAGCUCCAAGGUAUAGAGGGUCUGCUGUCCACCAUGUUUCUGUCCUGGGGGGACAGAGGGCGAGCCUGCUGAGCACAGGGCAAGACACUUCCAGUGGGAAGCCAGGAAUAGCCCGAAGGGGCUGUGACCUCUGGUGCCCUCCAGGGAGGGGCUGUGUCAGCUCCUCCCCAGCGGGAGACCGAGAGCCCAUGGGUCAUAGUGGAGGAUGGCCAGAUGGGGUGGGCAGCAGCCUGGGAGCGGCUGGGGCCAGGGUCAAGACAUCCAGCUCAUGGGUCUCCAUCCCCUCCCCUGUGGCUCUCGCCACAGAACCCUCCUGUGCCCUGCAUGGAGCCCCUGCUGGAGGCAGCCCGGCUCGGUGGGUACUUAAUGGUGCUUGGCUCCUGUGUUCAUGGGCAGUGCUGCAGGACAGGGCUGGGGGCCAGGGGGCUGAGGUGCUGGGGGCUGGGCUCCAUCAGGGCCAGUUCCCCUUGCAUGCCAUCCACGGGACCCUACGGGGAAGGACGAAGCCAGCCCCUGAGUCAGCAGAUGCCCCUGGGCCCCUUUUUGGCCAGCUUCUGGCAUUCUGCUGGGAUGUGGGGUGACACUUAUCUCCUGGUUCUGGGCUACUUGAGCAGGAAGGAGGCCUUGGAUGGAAAACUUUGGGCCCUCUCUGCUCCUGGAGUCCCCAGGCUGCCCCCAGCCCCUGGCUCUGCCUUCACCUGCACUGGACUGGGUGCUGCUCCUGGGUCUGCUGGUGCCCAGUCAGCCCCCUGAGCUGACCCCAACUUAGGUCAGGGCUGCACAAGGGGAGACAUCCCGGGGGCCCAGGAAGGAGCCACACCCAGGAAUCCGCAUUCCUGGGCAGCCCGGACUUAAUACCAAGUGGCUUUAGGGGGAAGCCCAACCCUAGCAGCUGAAAAUAGGCCAGGCAGACGCCAGACCAGUCUGGGUGUGGGACGCAGGGUCCUUCCUGCCGACGGGAGGCAGGUGAGAAGUGUGCCAGGGCUCAGGUGGCUGGUGCUGGCCUUUGAAGGCACCGCGGGCUGCCCAGGCAAGGUGCCCACAGCUGCCAUUGCAUGUGGUCCCAGCCCGUUCCGUGGCCGGCCGGCCUGUGCUGCCCAUCAGAGGGUGGAAGCAGGGUGGGAAGAUGGUGUGAUGUCGCCUCCCCUGUUUCUAUUGCCGUGGAUCUUAUUUUAGUCCAUUAUUGCUGGUUUUUUUGGGAUUCCGUGUCCUCCCUCCUGUCGGGCCAGUUUUUCUUUGUGUAGCUGGCAGCCCACCGCUUCCGACGCUGACUUCAGGGCCUCGGGAUUGUCUCAGAAGCCUGUGUGGCUUUGACAGCGUGGGGGCUGGUGGGAGGCUCUGCCGGGCUGUGCCUUUGGAUCUGGAGUGGAGAGGAAGCUCCUUUUGCAGGCGAGGGCUUCUGUGAGCUCGGUGCAGAUCUCUGGGAUGGAGACACCCCACCCUGCAUUCCCCAAGGCCACGGGGAGGAGCCCAGCAGCACCUCGGCCUGGACGCUCAGUCACAGACGCCGUGCUGGACACGUGGCAGUCGAAACAGGACCUUGGUGGCAUCCAGGAAGUUCUGGAACAUUCUCAGCCUGAGAUUCGGAAAAGGCAUCAGCCUUCCCCUCCUCCCAAAACACACAGGAUGGCUGGAAGCUGGUCCCCACCCCUUCCAGGGCCCCCCAGAUGGGGCUUGGUUAGUUCUCACGCACAGGAUCUGGCGCACGUGCCACCGGACAAGGACACCCAGGUGAGUUGCUGCCCCAGCCUAUGGGUGAGACCCUGCACCGAGCUUCCCCAGGGCCAGCAGGGGCAGGCGGCUGGACCAGGGGUGUGCUCUGCACCAGGAUCUGGAAACAGUGACUUCCCCUCCCUGUGGGCUGAUGUGGAGUCUUCCCUUACACAGGCAGGACCUUCUGCACCCAAGGCUGUUCCUUCCCUGCUUGGGUUCCUAGGACAGUCUCUGAUCCAGGCGGGGGUCUCUCUGGGUAUCUAAGCCGGGUGUCUGUGCCCAGCCGAUUCUCCCUCUUCCUCCAUCUGCAAAGCUGGUGGCCCCGAGACUUCUCUCUGCCCUGCCCUCGGCUUUUGUCCUCAUGUCUUCUCUUGCUGGCUCUGAUCUUCCUGCCUCCCCUCAACUUACCAGACCCCCAGUGUUGAGUUAGAGCUCACUUGGGGGGCCCAGGGUCCUCUCCUAUCCCAAGACCCUUGACUUAAUCACGUCUGAAAAGGUCCCUUGCCCUGUACCACGACCCAUUCACCGGCUACAGAGAUUAGGAGGUGAGCAUCUUUGGGGGCAUCACUCACCCCAGGGAAUGCACCCGCUGUGGGGGUCCCACCUUAGGCCGAUGACCUUGGGGUCAGGGAGCAGCCUGAAGCCGCCAAAGAAGGACCCUUGGAGACGCAGAGGGCUUGGUCCACACCCACUCCACCCCGCCAGGUGCCCGCUGCCCGCUUCAGCUGUUGGACUCUGCUUCCAGUGCUCAUUCUCGCAGAAUGCCCCUCCCCCUCCCGGUCCUCCCACUCAGUGGUCCAGGUCCACCCUCUGCCUCAGUGGUCCCCAGGCUUGAGCAUGCAUCUGAAUCCCGUGGGGGCUUGUGGACCAACAGAUCACUGGGCUGAAACCACGGUUUCUGAAUCAGGGGUCGGGCGAAGGACCCAGAAGCUGCGGCUGCCGCUGUCCCAGGGCCCUACCUGGAGAAGCCCCGCCUACCUGAGCCACCUGUUCUCUGCCUCCCAACCCCUGCAGCGGCGUGGUAAUGUGGGCGGCUCAUUCCUGCCUCACUCUCCCCACCUGUGGAGAGGCGUCCCAAGGACUCCACUUGCGCCCUGCCUCUUAGAUUGCUGUCAUGCUGGACAAGGGCACUAGAUGGCCCUAGUCCAGAUUUGGAGAAUGUGUGUAGGGCACCAGCCUUGGCAGGUUUCAGGGUCUCUGCACUCACCUAGUCUCAGUCACUGCCAGGGGAGCCAGGGCCUCACCUUACCGAUGGGGAAACAGAGGGUGCUUGCCUGCGGCCCUGUAUGGGUGCUCCCAGCAUGAAGGGGCUGCCCAGGGCCAGGACCCAGUCUGGCCACCUCUCAUUGUCCACCCUGCCGCCCUCCUCCAUCUCUGAGCUGGGGCUGUGCCGUCUGUGCCUUUUAGGAGGGUCCCUGCACCCUGGCCAGGAGCCCUGGGAGCUUUCCACCUGCAGGGAUCCCCCACUGUGUACCCUUGGCUGGCUCCCAGAUCCUUCUUGCGGGGGGCAGAGUGGGAGCAGGUUCCCCAGCCAAGCCUUCCUGGAGCUUUUGCCUCAGAUGCAUCUGUAUCCUGGCCACCUGAGCCCUCAGAGUCCCUGGUCCACAAGGGAGAGGCAGACCUGCCUCUGCAUGUCACUUUGCUCACUCCCAGUCAACUCUGCGUGCUGGCCUCAGCAGGCUGACCACACGGGCGGCCACUGCCCCCGGAGCUCCCUCAUCGGUGCCUCCUUCCUGGUCCUUACAAGAAGAGACAACAUCGCUGAGCGCAUUUGCAUGUCGAUCACGCUGCCAUUAUGUUUCUAGGAGUUUUCAUCAUGAGAAGAAUGAGAUAAUCAUGUUGUAUGUACUGAAUAGACUUAGGAAGAUUGCAAGGCGGCGCUUUCAUUGGAAGAGGGGAAUUCGUUUAAAAAUACGCUGUCAAAAUAUGUUGUUCUAAAUGCUGAGUUGAUGGUUCUUUUGUUUUGCUUUGUUUCUUCAAUGUGUCAUUAGAAAAAAUUAACAGUGACAUCAGCUGUGAGGUGGGACUGCGGCUUCUCUAAAGGGGGGAGGUGCUGAGUUGUCCUUGGGAUUUUCUUUCACUUGACAUAUUCUCUCUCUCCUUAUGAGGCCCACCAUGACCUUUAUUUUCCAUUUACUGAAAGUCGGAUGUGUGCCUUUGCAGAACUCAGAUGGACGGUACUUCCUGGUCACAGCCCUGCCCAUGCCCCUGUGGACCCCUGCUGGCCUCCCCUGGGCCGACUGACCAGGCCUGGGAUGAUGCCAAGUCAGAGGCGACCCCAUGGCCCUCCCUGUGGCUGACCCUCUGACUUCGCACCCUGUAAAGGUCAAGUUCCGUGUGGAGCCUAACUGCAGCCCAGGCCUGGGGGGAGGUUCUUGAGACCCGAACGCGCCCAGUUCUUACAGUGCGGCUGCUGCUCUGUGUUUCUGAAUGGAUCAGCAGCUAUGCUGUCAUCUGACACCUGCUUAUGGAGAGGGCAAGGCCGGGGCAGCAGGACCUCGGACAGCGAGGUGGACUCCUGAGCUGCUGCAGCUGCCCAGAGACAGCCGGCCUUCCCCUGGGCGAGGCCUCCAGACGGGAACACUGAGGAAGGACACGUGUGUACAGUGCUUGGGGCAGAGACAUGGGGCAGGUACUGACUUCGCAGCUUCCUUCCAGCUCUGGCGAGACUGCCUGGAAGGGAGGUGAGUUUCCACCGCAGGCCUGUUGGAGCCCUGUGGAAGCCUCAUCCCACCCAGGCUGGAGGUGGCAGGAGGACCCAGGGCUCUGCUGGCCCCUCCCCCAGCUCAGACCCUGCCUGGGUCAGCCUCUGUUGUAGUUGAGGAGAACAGCUUUAGGUCCCAGAAUGGUGGCCGGGAGGUCAGAGGGAGGUGCCUGAGAUGCACCUGGUGUCUCACGGGUGGGUGGAGCCCGCGUGAGGCUUCAGGCCCAUUACACGUGAGUAGCCCUGAGAGGUCCAGUCACGCCUUCCCAGGCGCUAUUCUUCAGGCACUUCUGAGAUGCUUUUUUUUUUAUGGCUUUUUCUCCUCUCUGGAAUUGGGAAUGUCAUGUGACUCUUGUCGCUGGGCACCAGACAGGCAGGUGAAAGGGGCAUAGGCAGAGCUCCCUUGGCCGCCUGGGUCCCUGGUGCCUUUCCUCUCCUCCUCUAGAGGUCCCGUGAUAGUUCUGAUGGCAAUGGUGACAUUGGUUCUCAGGUAAGGACACUGAAGGUCAGAGGUGCUGGAAACUCAUGAAUUAGGAGCCUGGUGUGGUCCUGGUUCCUGACGAGCUUCGAGUGGAUUGAGAUGGGAGUGGGCCUGGGGGCUGCUGCAUUGUUAGGGCGAGGACCCCUGGAAGGGGUCCCUCACAGCCCAGCACCCCUGCACCCUGCACUGGCUGCCUCCAGCCACUGCACCCAGCCCCGCCCUGUGCACACCCUCCCCACCACACUCCUUCAUGGGGUUCAGUUCCCAUCAAGGGUGGUCUUCACCCCCUAAGAACCUAGGGCUUGCGCCCGAGUCUAGGCUUGUCCACCUGCCCCACCUGUGAUGUGGCCUCGAGGACUGUGGCUUGGCAGGUGCUUAGGGAGUUUGUGUAAUUAACCGAUGCUUUAGGUCAGCAAAGACGCAGUCUGAGUGUGAUUGCAGGUCAGCACUGUGGAAAGAGCCAGGAACACCCUGAAAGCAGGGUGGCCCCAAGUGUGUACGCAGGGCCGGUGGGCAGGACCCCACUCAGAAACUGUGCACUUGCACCAGGAGUGGGGCUGGGGGACAAGCGGGGUCUGUGGCACCCCUGACCUGGCUGUUUUCCUCAGGGACAGGAACCCUUCUCUAGGGGACAGAGUCCCAUUGUGACCUGGAGGAGGGAGGGGAAGCAGGGAGUUCAGGUGAGCUCCCCGCCUGGGGAAAGGCUCAGGCGGGUGGGGCACAUAAGGCUUGGAGUGGCUGCCUAGUGGGGUUGCCUCUGAAGGGUCCUAGCAAGCCAGUGACUGCUUAAACCACCUCCUCUUUUGAGAGUUUGCUCUGGCUCUUCAUGCCUAUGACCUGGGUGGCAGAGAAAUCAAGGUGGAGGCUGUUGAGGGUGUCCAGGCAGGAGAUGAGGGUGUCCGGCAGGAGACGGGGGUGUCCAGGCAGAGAUGGGGGUGUCCAGGUGGAGACGAGUGUGUCCAGGCGGAGACAAGUGUGUCCAGGCAGGAGACGGGGGUGUCCAGGCAGGAGACGUUGGUGUACAGGCGGAGACGGGGGUGUCCAGGCAGGAGAUGAGGGUGUCCAGGCAGGAGAUGGGGGUGUACAGGCAGGAGAUGGGAGUGUCCAGGCGGAGACGGGGGUGUCCAGGCAGGAGACAGGGGUGUCCAGGCGGAGAUGAGGGUGUCCAGGCAGGAGACGGGGGUGUCCAGGCAGGAGACGAGGGUGUCCAGGCAGGAGAUGGGGGUGUCCAGCUGGAGAUGAGGGUGUCCAGGCAGGAGACGAGGGUGUCCAGGAGGAGAUGAGGGUGUCCAGGCAGGAGAUGAGGGUGUCCAGGCAGGAGAUGGGAGUGUCCAGGUGGGAAAUAGGGGUGUCCAGCGGUUUUUGACCAGGCUGAACUGUGGCAGAAUCAGGAUUUUCCAUAAAGACAGGAUGAUGGGUUGGGUGCGUGGACAGGAAGGGUAGGUGAGCAGGCCCCCUCAGACCUCUGUCCUCCAGUGGGUGCUGUGGGAGUGGUGGUAGCCCUCGAGUCACAGUGAGCCAGGAAGGUGCAUGUGGCGGAGGAAAAUUCUGGAAGGAAGAGCUUCCAGGUGGAUAUUGGGGCAUUGGGGGCCUUCCUUCUCCCUUCACGGGGCUUUGGACACCCCUUUGAGGACUGAGCUUGUGGAUGCAGAGGCUGUGGGCCCUCUGGACACCUCCUGAGGACUGAGCUGGUGGCUGAGGGGCCGUGGGCCAUGUGGACACCCCCUGAGGACUGAGCUGGUAGCUGAGGGGCCGUGGGCCCUAUGGACACCCCCUAAGGACUGAGCUGGUGACUGAGGGGCCGUGGGCCAUGUGGACACCCCCUGAGGACUGGCUGGUGGUUGAGGGGCUGUGGGCCAUGUGGACACCCCCUGAGGACUGAGCUGGUGACUGAGGGGCCGUGGGCCAUGUGGACACCCCCUGAGGACUGAGCUGGUGGUUGAGGGGCCGUGGGCCAUGUGGACACCCCCUGAGGACUGAGCUGGUGACUGAGGGGCCGUGGGCCAUGUGGACACCCCCUGAGGACUGAGCUGGUGGUUGAGGGGCCGUGGGCCAUGUGGACACCCCCUGAGGACUGAGCUGGUGGCUGAGGGGCCGUGGGCCAUGUGGACACCCCCUGAGGACUGAGCUGGUGGCUGAGGGGCCGUGGGCCAUGUGGACACCCCCUGAGGACUGAGCUGGUGGCUGAGGGGCCGUGGGCCAUGUGGACACCCCCUGAGGACUGAGCUGGUGGUUGAGGGGCCGUGGGCCCUGUGGACACCCCCUGAGGACUGAGCUGGUGGCUGAGGGGCCGUGGGCCCUGUGGACACCCCCGAGGACUGAGCUGGUGGCUGAGGGGCCGUGGGCCCUGUGGACACCCCCUGAGGACUGAGGUGGUGGCUGAGGGGCCGUGGGCCCUGUGGACACUCCCUGAGGACUGAGGUGGUGGCUGAGGGGCCGAGGGCCCUCUGCUCUGUGGGGCUGGGCUGAGUAGGGUUGGGGAUCCCUGGCAUCUGCAGAGCCUCCUGUGUUGAUGACCUGCACCGCCUGCUCUGCCUCCAUGAUGACUCGAGAAGGACGAGGCUUCACCUACAUUUUGCAUGCAUGAGGAAUUGAGUGUAAGUCUCGUCUGCUCCCUGCCUGUGACAUCGAGCAGGGUGGUCUGACAAAUGGGGCAUCAGGAGUCUUGGUGCUGCCUGUCCCUGAAGUGUCUUCCUGAGGAAACACAGAGUGAAGGAACCUCGGGAGGGCACAGGGGCUGUCACCUGCUAGAGCCCAGGGAGGGAAUGCACAGGGUGCUGUCCUGGGGCCAGCAUUCCGCUUAAAGGAUCAGCUUCGAGUCUUGGUUGACCACUGGAGACUAUGGCCAGGGAUCUUGGGAUGGUUCAGGGGAACAUGCUGCAGGCUGACAGAGAGAGAAACUGAGGCCCAGAGUGGAAACUAGGGUGGUCAGGGCUCCUCCCAUCUCUUCCCCUGCUAGGUGGUGGGAAAGAAACCAGCGGCUCCCAUGGCUCCCUCCCCUCCCGUCCCUUCUGCUUGGGCGAAGCAGAUCCCUCCUCCAGUGGGCUCCUGUCUCUCCUCUCCAACUGUCCACGUCACAUGGGACCUGCUCUGCUGGAUUUGGGCCAGGGGUCAUGGCUACCUGGUCCACCCCUGACCCCCAGGCCCACCUCCUCAGGGGAAGGGUGGCAGAAGGAGUUCUUAGGCAGUGAGGUUUCGGGCAGGAGAGGUGACCCCAGCGCAUGUGGAUAUGGGGACUGGCAAAGCAGGAGAGCAAUGUCCCUUGGGUUCCAAAGGAAAGUGGCUGAGAUUUCACAGUGACACAGACAUUGAGCUUCCACUGUGCAGGGACACCCUGUGCAAAGCAGUGCCCCUGCCCACCCCAUCCCCAGCCUUGUUAGGGGACUGGCAACCCUCAGACCUGCCAACCAGCAGGAGCUGCCCAUGGGCAUGUGGGUAGUCUCAGGGAGUUGGCCGGAGGGUGGCUGGGGCAGCCAGGGACUACCACACUGCCUGCCAAUGUGGUCAGGCCUGCUUCAGGCCCAGGAAGUGUGGGUCUGCCUGGGGGGCCUUCUGCUUGCGUGAUGAGCUGAGCAGCCCCUGGCCAGCCCUCUUGGCCUUUCA
Callithrix jacchus (white-tufted-ear marmoset) is the source of this 16969-nucleotide long non-coding RNA. RefSeq lists it as uncharacterized. NCBI's taxonomy places the organism in Eukaryota, Metazoa, Chordata, Mammalia, Primates, Cebidae. The record is from RefSeq and is a predicted model, not a curated record.